AUUAGUAUAAAAGAAGACAAAAGGAGACUAGGGGCCCAGUUUGUUAAUCUAAACAAAGCUUAGAUUAAAUAAAAUUUAGAGAGAUUUUGAUUUGGUUUAAGAAAGCUUAAAGAAAGAUUCUAAAUUUGGAAAGGGAAACAUCCGGCAUUAAGAAAUAUUAAUUGGCGGGCAAAGGUCGUAGUGGAGAGCGAGGGCUUUGUAUUUAAGUUUAAUAAGAUAAUGAGGGGGAAAGCCGCCGCUUGAUUAUUCUUAUAUAAACAAUAGUGGGGGCCACCGAUAGAGAAGAGUACUGUGAAGGAAAGUUAAAUAUUUUGUCUUUAAAGCAGAUAUUGUUAUCGUACCUUUUGUAUAAGGGGUUUGUAAGAAGUUUUUAGCGAGGCGGGGGCCGUAAUGAGGGUGAGUCUUCUGUAGUUAAAAAUCCCGAAACUAAGUGAUCUAAUUAUGGGCAGCCUGAAGUUAUAUGGGAGUAUAAUGGAGGGGCGAACUGGUAACUGUGGCAAAAGUUUCAGAUGAUCUAUAGUUGGUGGUGAGAGACCAAUCGAACUUAGAAAUAGCUGGUUUUCUACGAAAUUCAUUUUAGUAAAGUGAAAAUUUAAAUAAAUCUUAUUUAUGGAGAGUAUAUUUUAGAUUUUCAAUGAGAGUGGGGGCGUAAAGUUGUCGCUCGAGAGGGGAAAAGCCCGGAUAUUAGCUAAAGGCGUGAAAAAAAAUUUUAAGUGCAAAAGGGGGAUUAAUUUAGAUAAAAAGAAAGUGGGCUUGGAAGUAGCCAUCUUAUAAAGAGUGUGUAAUUACAUAAUUUUCAAGUUAUGGCCCUUGAAAAUGUGGGCGACUUAAAAAAGUAUUAAAGCUAUGGGUGUUUAAUAUAGACUUAUUUAUAUUAAAUAUAUAAAAGUUUAAUAGGGGUUUCUUUAUAUUAAGCCAAAUUUAGGUAGUAGAAUAUACUGUAUUGGAUAAUGAAAAUAGAUCAGUAGAAAUAAUGCAAACAUGAGUAAAAAAUACCUGGGGGUUGUCUACAAAAGUCGUAAAAAUUAAUAGGCGGUAGGAUAGUUUAAUAUUAAGAAAUAUUAUUUGGUUUUCGCCCUGUAAUUUGUUGUAUUAAAUAAAUUAUAAACUUUAGUUUAUAGGUUUUCUAUUUUUAUUUUUGUAGUAUAAUUUAAGACUAUCGGGGGUAGUUGAAGAGGAAUGGGGGUUCCGACUGACAAUAGAGGGUAUUUAAAUGAAUGACUUUAUAUUAAGGAAUUCGGCAAAAUGUUUUUGUAAGAUUACGAGAAGAAAAGAGUUUAAUUAAAAAGACUAUAAAAUUAUCGCUUUGUUAGUUGCCUUAAUUAGACAAAAAUUAGGAGGUGUCGACUGUUUCGCAAAAACAUAGCUUCUAGUAAAGAAUAGGGGUGAGACCUGUCCAGUGACUAUUUCUAAAUAUCGUUUCGAUUAUAAGGGUAGUUAAACGGCCGCGGUAAUUAUGACCGUGUUAAAGUAGCGCAAUCAAUCGCCAAUUAAUUGUUGGCAAGUAUGAAGGUUUCACGAAUGCCUCACUGUCUCAAUAUAAAGUUUAUUGAAAUUGGAAUUUUAGUGAAGAUACUAAAUAGUAGUUGAAAGACGAGAAGACCCCGUGAGCUUUACUGGAGUGUUAAUUAUUAUUAAUACAGACAGUUUGGUUGGGGCGACCCCCCUAUAAAGAGUAACUAGGGGGCUUGUGGGGUAAGAAAUAGUUAAACCUAAGACAAUAAGGGGCCCUCCCAAAUUGGCAUGUAGUUUUUUGGUUUAUCAAAAUCUUUUAGAACUUGGUGGGAUAUAUUGAUCCGUAAUUUAUGGGUUACGAGAGCGGCAAAAAGUUACCGCGGGGAUAACAGGGUAAUUUUGUUUGAGAGUUCGUAUCGAAGAUGGAGUUUGCUACCUCGAUGUUGAAUUGUGAUAUCCUGAAGGCGCAGGAGUUUUCAAGGGUUGGACUGUUCGUCCAUUAAAAUCGCACAUGAUUUGAGUUCAGACCGGCGUGAGCCAGGUCGGUUUCUAUCUUCAAUUAUUUAAUGUCUUUUAUUUUUUUAGUACGAAAGGAGGAAAAAGAGCUUGUUCUAUGAUUUUUAAUUAAGACAAAGAAUUAAUUAUUAAAUACAUAUAUAAGAAAUUUAAAGAGUAUAUUAUUUUAGAUAAAAAUAAUUAAAAUACUAAUAA
Molecule: ribosomal RNA, 2166 nt
Filed under: Hippospongia lachne (sheepswool sponge)
Lineage: Eukaryota; Metazoa; Porifera; Demospongiae; Dictyoceratida; Spongiidae
Description: large subunit ribosomal RNA
Rfam family: Bacterial large subunit ribosomal RNA (bases 201-2034)
Source: RNAcentral